Apis dorsata (giant honeybee) is the source of this 690-nucleotide long non-coding RNA. RefSeq lists it as uncharacterized. NCBI's taxonomy places the organism in Eukaryota, Metazoa, Arthropoda, Insecta, Hymenoptera, Apidae. The transcript has 2 exons. The record is from RefSeq and is a predicted model, not a curated record.
ACCGUUCUGCUUAGCCGCUGUUUUUUAUUCCUGGUGAAUAAGGGGAGUGAGGAGCCGGGAUCAAGCCGGAGUGUGAGCGGUGGAACGGAGUCAACGGGUGAGGGAAGGAACGGGAAACACGGCGGAAACUGGAGAACCAGAGAGGAGAGAGGAACUGGUGGAAAAGAAGAUAAAUCGCGACAGUUGCCAACCUAAGAAGUUUGAUUAUGUUGGCUCAGCCGAGGCUACGCUCGGUUAGAUUUGUAUUAAGCUCGCGCCCGCCCCACCGUCGACGGGAAUAUGCUUUAUAAGCGUAUCGUGGCGUGCUCGAGCGCUUCGAAAUCUUAGAUGGUCGAAAACAGGGGAAGCGAAACGUGGUUAUUAAAAUCCAGAAAGAAUGGGAAAAUAGCAGAGAGAUAUGAGGUCGUUUUUUUUUUCCCUCAUCAAAAAUCCGUGGAAUAUCGUUUUUGUUAGGGAAGAUUACGUUACAAGAUAAUUCAAAACAUUUGUUACUAGUUACACAUGGUUGUCGCGUGGGUGGUGUAGGUGUUUAGUCUGGGGAAUGUUUAGAUCCCUUCCAUGGUUUCACUCUGUGAAGUGGAGUUUAUGCGUAAACGAUAGGGUCUUGACAGAUCGUCUAUUCUUGGUAUACGAAAGUGUGAACACUUGAAAGCACUUCCCGUUUCUAAGAUACGUGUUCUUAAGAUUAUA